This 489-nucleotide ribosomal RNA is filed under the name uncultured bacterium. Its description in RNAcentral is "partial 16S ribosomal RNA". It matches the Rfam family "Bacterial small subunit ribosomal RNA", at positions 28 to 507 of the family's 1533-position model. The record is from RNAcentral.
GAUGAACGCUAGCUACAGGCUUAACACAUGCAAGUCGAGGGGCAGCAUGAACUUAGCUUGCUAAGUUUGAUGGCGACCGGCGCACGGGUGAGUAACACGUAUCCAACCUGCCGAUGACUCGGGGAUAGCCUUUCGAAAGAAAGAUUAAUACCCGAUGGCAUAGUUCUUCCGCAUGGUAGAACUAUUAAAGAAUUUCGGUCAUCGAUGGGGAUGCGUUCCAUUAGGUUGUUGGCGGGGUAACGGCCCACCAAGCCUUCGAUGGAUAGGGGUUCUGAGAGGAAGGUCCCCCAGAUUGGAACUGAGACACGGUCCAAACUCCUACGGGAGGCAGCAGUGAGGAAUAUUGGUCAAUGGACGAGAGUCUGAACCAGCCAAGUAGCGUGAAGGAUGACUGCCCUAUGGGUUGUAAACUUCUUUUAUACGGGAGUAAAGUGAGGCAAGUGUGCCUUUUUGUAGGUAACGUAUGAAUAAGGAUCGGCUAACUCCGUG